This 2107-nucleotide ribosomal RNA is filed under the name Escherichia coli. RNAcentral describes it as "partial 23S ribosomal RNA". It matches the Rfam family "Bacterial large subunit ribosomal RNA", at positions 709 to 2798 of the family's 2925-position model. Lineage: Bacteria; Pseudomonadati; Pseudomonadota; Gammaproteobacteria; Enterobacterales; Enterobacteriaceae. The record is from RNAcentral.
AUAGACCCGAAACCCGGUGAUCUAGCCAUGGGCAGGUUGAAGGUUGGGUAACACUAACUGGAGGACCGAACCGACUAAUGUUGAAAAAUUAGCGGAUGACUUGUGGCUGGGGGUGAAAGGCCAAUCAAACCGGGAGAUAGCUGGUUCUCCCCGAAAGCUAUUUAGGUAGCGCCUCGUGAAUUCAUCUCCGGGGGUAGAGCACUGUUUCGGCAAGGGGGUCAUCCCGACUUACCAACCCGAUGCAAACUGCGAAUACCGGAGAAUGUUAUCACGGGAGACACACGGCGGGUGCUAACGUCCGUCGUGAAGAGGGAAACAACCCAGACCGCCAGCUAAGGUCCCAAAGUCAUGGUUAAGUGGGAAACGAUGUGGGAAGGCCCAGACAGCCAGGAUGUUGGCUUAGAAGCAGCCAUCAUUUAAAGAAAGCGUAAUAGCUCACUGGUCGAGUCGGCCUGCGCGGAAGAUGUAACGGGGCUAAACCAUGCACCGAAGCUGCGGCAGCGACGCUUAUGCGUUGUUGGGUAGGGGAGCGUUCUGUAAGCCUGUGAAGGUGUGCUGUGAGGCAUGCUGGAGGUAUCAGAAGUGCGAAUGCUGACAUAAGUAACGAUAAAGCGGGUGAAAAGCCCGCUCGCCGGAAGACCAAGGGUUCCUGUCCAACGUUAAUCGGGGCAGGGUGAGUCGACCCCUAAGGCGAGGCCGAAAGGCGUAGUCGAUGGGAAACAGGUUAAUAUUCCUGUACUUGGUGUUACUGCGAAGGGGGGACGGAGAAGGCUAUGUUGGCCGGGCGACGGUUGUCCCGGUUUAAGCGUGUAGGCUGGUUUUCCAGGCAAAUCCGGAAAAUCAAGGCUGAGGCGUGAUGACGAGGCACUACGGUGCUGAAGCAACAAAUGCCCUGCUUCCAGGAAAAGCCUCUAAGCAUCAGGUAACAUCAAAUCGUACCCCAAACCGACACAGGUGGUCAGGUAGAGAAUACCAAGGCGCUUGAGAGAACUCGGGUGAAGGAACUAGGCAAAAUGGUGCCGUAACUUCGGGAGAAGGCACGCUGAUAUGUAGGUGAAGUCCCUCGCGGAUGGAGCUGAAAUCAGUCGAAGAUACCAGCUGGCUGCAACUGUUUAUUAAAAACACAGCACUGUGCAAACACGAAAGUGGACGUAUACGGUGUGACGCCUGCCCGGUGCCGGAAGGUUAAUUGAUGGGGUCAGCGCAAGCGAAGCUCUUGAUCGAAGCCCCGGUAAACGGCGGCCGUAACUAUAACGGUCCUAAGGUAGCGAAAUUCCUUGUCGGGUAAGUUCCGACCUGCACGAAUGGCGUAAUGAUGGCCAGGCUGUCUCCACCCGAGACUCAGUGAAAUUGAACUCGCUGUGAAGAUGCAGUGUACCCGCGGCAAGACGGAAAGACCCCGUGAACCUUUACUAUAGCUUGACACUGAACAUUGAGCCUUGAUGUGUAGGAUAGGUGGGAGGCUUAGAAGUGUGGACGCCAGUCUGCAUGGAGCCGACCUUGAAAUACCACCCUUUAAUGUUUGAUGUUCUAACGUUGACCCGUAAUCCGGGUUGCGGACAGUGUCUGGUGGGUAGUUUGACUGGGGCGGUCUCCUCCUAAAGAGUAACGGAGGAGCACGAAGGUUGGCUAAUCCUGGUCGGACAUCAGGAGGUUAGUGCAAUGGCAUAAGCCAGCUUGACUGCGAGCGUGACGGCGCGAGCAGGUGCGAAAGCAGGUCAUAGUGAUCCGGUGGUUCUGAAUGGAAGGGCCAUCGCUCAACGGAUAAAAGGUACUCCGGGGAUAACAGGCUGAUACCGCCCAAGAGUUCAUAUCGACGGCGGUGUUUGGCACCUCGAUGUCGGCUCAUCACAUCCUGGGGCUGAAGUAGGUCCCAAGGGUAUGGCUGUUCGCCAUUUAAAGUGGUACGCGAGCUGGGUUUAGAACGUCGUGAGACAGUUCGGUCCCUAUCUGCCGUGGGCGCUGGAGAACUGAGGGGGGCUGCUCCUAGUACGAGAGGACCGGAGUGGACGCAUCACUGGUGUUCGGGUUGUCAUGCCAAUGGCACUGCCCGGUAGCUAAAUGCGGAAGAGAUAAGUGCUGAAAGCAUCUAAGCACGAAACUUGCC